UUGGUGGCGAGCAAUAUUGGACAAUGGGCGCAAGCCUGAUCCAGCCAUGCCGCGUGUGUGAAGAAGGCCUUCGGGUUGUAAAGCACUUUUGUUGGGGAAGAAAAGCAGCCAGUUAAUACCUGGUUGUUCUGACGGUACCCAAAGAAUAAGCACCGGCUAACUUCGUGCCAGCAGCCGCGGUAAAUAAAA
Molecule: ribosomal RNA, 189 nt
Filed under: uncultured Lysobacteraceae bacterium
Lineage: Bacteria; Pseudomonadati; Pseudomonadota; Gammaproteobacteria; Lysobacterales; Lysobacteraceae
Description: uncultured Xanthomonadaceae bacterium partial 16S ribosomal RNA
Rfam family: Bacterial small subunit ribosomal RNA
Source: RNAcentral